UACGUAGGGGGCAAGCGUUGUCCGGAAUUAUUGGGCGUAAAGAGCGCGUAGGCGGUCCGGUAAGUCGGUUGUGAAAGUCGGGGGCUCAACCCUCGGAUGCCGAUCGAUACUGCCGGGCUAGAGUCCGGAAGAGGCGAGUGGAAUUCCUGGUGUAGCGGUGAAAUGCGCAGAUAUCAGGAGGAACACCAAUGGCGAAGGCAGCUCGCUGGGACGGUACUGACGCUGAGGCGCGAAAGCGUGGGGAGCAAACAGG
Molecule: non-coding RNA, 253 nt
Filed under: uncultured bacterium
Lineage: Bacteria
Also listed under: 1 other name
Description: partial 16S ribosomal RNA
Rfam family: Bacterial small subunit ribosomal RNA
Source: RNAcentral